Petromyzon marinus (sea lamprey) is the source of this 319-nucleotide non-coding RNA. Lineage: Eukaryota; Metazoa; Chordata; Hyperoartia; Petromyzontiformes; Petromyzontidae. The record is from RefSeq and is a predicted model, not a curated record.
CAGGAGGAGGAGGAGGGGCAGGGAGGAGGAGGAGCGGGGGGGAGACGCAGGGAGAAAGGGAGAGGAGGCUACAGACAGGCGAACCGCUAUCCGCGGCCCGGUCAUUGUCCGAGACGAGACGCCAUGCACUGGCCCCGUCGGGUGUCCUGGCCGUGAAGAGACACCGCCCUGCUCACCUUGAUCACCCGAGGUGCCACCGGUGGCCGUGGCAUGGUCGGUGCCCGUCGGUGUUAACGCCACACAAUUCGAGCACCGACUUGGCUUGCAGGGAUGUGGGGCAUCUCAUUCCUCAGUGUGCCGGAAAACGUCCUGGCAAGGA